Molecule: ribosomal RNA, 1459 nt
Filed under: uncultured organism
Description: SSU rRNA
Rfam family: Bacterial small subunit ribosomal RNA
Source: RNAcentral
UGCCUAAUACAUGCAAGUAGAACGCUGAAGAGAGGAGCUUGCUCUUCUUGGAUGAGUUGCGAACGGGUGAGUAACGCGUAGGUAACCUGCCUUGUAGCGGGGGAUAACUAUUGGAAACGAUAGCUAAUACCGCAUAACAAUAGGUGACACAUGUCAUUUAUUUGAAAGGGGCAAUUGCUCCACUACAAGAUGGACCUGCGUUGUAUUAGCUAGUAGGUGAGGUAACGGCUCACCUAGGCGACGAUACAUAGCCGACCUGAGAGGGUGAUCGGCCACACUGGGACUGAGACACGGCCCAGACUCCUGCGGGAGGCAGCAGUAGGGAAUCUUCGGCAAUGGGGGCAACCCUGACCGAGCAACGCCGCGUGAGUGAAGAAGGUUUUCGGAUCGUAAAGCUCUGUUGUAAGUCAAGAACGAGUGUGAGAGUGGAAAGUUCACACUGUGACGGUAGCUUACCAGAAAGGGACGGCUAACUACGUGCCAGCAGCCGCGGUAAUACGUAGGUCCCGAGCGUUGUCCGGAUUUAUUGGGCGUAAAGCGAGCGUAGGCGGUUUGAUAAGUCUGAAGUUAAAGGCUGUGGCUCAACCAUAGUUCGCUUUGGAAACUGUCAAACUUGAGUGCAGAAGGGGAGAGUGGAAUUCCAUGUGUAGCGGUGAAAUGCGUAGAUAUAUGGAGGAACACCGGUGGCGAAAGCGGCUCUCUGGUCUGUAACUGACGCUGAGGCUCGAAAGCGUGGGGAGCGAACAGGAUUAGAUACCCUGGUAGUCCACGCCGUAAACGAUGAGUGCUAGGUGUUGGAUCCUUUCCGGGAUUCAGUGCCGCAGCUAACGCAUUAAGCACUCCGCCUGGGGAGUACGACCGCAAGGUUGAAACUCAAAGGAAUUGACGGGGGCCCACACAAGCGGUGGAGCAUGUGGUUUAAUUCGAAGCAACGCGAAGAACCUUACCAGGUCUUGACAUCCCGAUGCUAUUUCUAGAGAUAGAAAGUUACUUCGGUACAUCGGUGACAGGUGGUGCAUGGUUGUCGUCAGCUCGUGUCGUGAGAUGUUGGGUUAAGUCCCGCAACGAGCGCAACCCCUAUUGUUAGUUGCCAUCAUUCAGUUGGGCACUCUAGCGAGACUGCCGGUAAUAAACCGGAGGAAGGUGGGGAUGACGUCAAAUCAUCAUGCCCCUUAUGACCUGGGCUACACACGUGCUACAAUGGUUGGUACAACGAGUUGCGAGUCGGUGACGGCAAGCUAAUCUCUUAAAGCCAAUCUCAGUUCGGAUUGUAGGCUGCAACUCGCCUACAUGAAGUCGGAAUCGCUAGUAAUCGCGGAUCAGCACGCCGCGGUGAAUACGUUCCCGGGCCUUGUACACACCGCCCGUCACACCACGAGAGUUUGUAACACCCGAAGUCGGUGAGGUAACCUUUUGGAGCCAGCCGCCUAAGGUGGGAUAGAUGAUUGGGGUGAAGUGG